GUAGCGGCGAGCGAAACGGGAAAAGCCCAAACCAACAAGCUUGCUUGUUGGGGUUGUAGGACUCCAAUAUGGUCGUUCUUUCAGAUAGUCGAAUGACUUGGAAAAGUCAGUCAAAGAGGGUAAAAACCCCGUAGACGAAAUGUGGAAGACACCUAGGAGGAUCCUGAGUACGGCGGAACACGAGAAAUUCCGUCGGAAUCCGGGAGGACCAUCUCCCAAGGCUAAAUACUCCCUAGUGACCGAUAGUGAACCAGUACCGUGAGGGAAAGGUGAAAAGCACCCCGGAAGGGGAGUGAAAUAGAACCUGAAACCGUGUGCCUACAACAAGUCAAAGCCCGUUAAUGGGUGAUGGUGUGCCUUUUGUAGAAUGAACCGGCGAGUUACGAUUGCAUGCGAGGUUAAGUUGAAGAGACGGAGCCGCAGCGAAAGCGAGUCUGAAUAGGGCGUUUGAGUAUGUAGUCGUAGACCCGAAACCAUGUGAUCUACCCAUGUCCAGGUUGAAGGUGCGGUAAAACGCACUGGAGGACCGAACCCACGUACGUUGAAAAGUGCGGGGAUGAGGUGUGGGUAGCGGAGAAAUUCCAAACGAACUUGGAGAUAGC
RNAcentral lists this ribosomal RNA (602 nucleotides) under uncultured Enterococcus sp. RNAcentral describes it as "bacterial LSU rRNA". It matches the Rfam family "Bacterial large subunit ribosomal RNA", at positions 243 to 849 of the family's 2925-position model. Lineage: Bacteria; Bacillati; Bacillota; Bacilli; Lactobacillales; Enterococcaceae. The record is from RNAcentral.